This 328-nucleotide ribosomal RNA is filed under the name uncultured fungus. RNAcentral's name for it is "bacterial SSU rRNA". It matches the Rfam family "Eukaryotic small subunit ribosomal RNA", at positions 1189 to 1537 of the family's 1831-position model. The record is from RNAcentral. Lineage: Eukaryota; Fungi.
UUUUUAUUCGGCCCAUAGGGGGGAAACUCACCAGGUCCAGACAAUAUAAGGAUUGACAGAUUGAUAGCUCUUUCUUGAUUUAUUGGGUGGUGGAGCAUGGCCGUUCUUAGUUGGUGGAGUGAUUUGUCUGGUUAAUUCCGAUAACGAACGAGACCUUAACCUGCUAAAUAGCCCGUUCGGCUUUUGCUUUACUCUGGCUUAUUAGAGGGACUAUUAGCAUCUAGCUAAUGGAAGUUUGAGGCAAUAACAGGUCUGUGAUGCCCUUAGAUGUUCUGGGCCGCUCGCGCGAUACACUGACUGAACCAACGAGUUUAUCACCUUGGCCAAC